UGAAUGGCAAAACGAAAGCUCAACUGUCUCCUUAGAUUAAUCAAUGAAAUUGAUCUUUCCGUGCAGAAGCGGAAAUAUUUUUAUAAGACAAAAAGACCCUAUGGAGCUUCAAAUUUAAAUUACUUAUAUUCCCUUAAAAAUAUAAUAAAUAAUUUAACAUAAAAUUUUAGGUUGGGGCGACCGCGGAGUAAACUACAACCUCCAAGAUUAAUUAAGAAAGACAUUUCAAAAUGAUAAAAUAACUAAUAUACUUGAUCCAAUAUUUGAUCAACGAACCAAGUUACCCUAGGGAUAACAGCGCAAUCCCCUUAAAGAGUUCAUAUCGACAAGGGGGUUUACGACCUCGAUGUUGGAUCAGGGCCCCCAAAUGGUGCAGCAACUAUUAAAGGUUCGUUUGUUCAACGAUUAAAGCCCUACGUGAUCUGAGUU
This 429-nucleotide ribosomal RNA is filed under the name Speleomantes genei (Sardinian cave salamander). Its description in RNAcentral is "Hydromantes genei (Sardinian cave salamander) partial 16S ribosomal RNA". It matches the Rfam family "Bacterial large subunit ribosomal RNA", at positions 1993 to 2611 of the family's 2925-position model. Lineage: Eukaryota; Metazoa; Chordata; Amphibia; Caudata; Plethodontidae. The record is from RNAcentral.